RNAcentral lists this ribosomal RNA (468 nucleotides) under uncultured bacterium. RNAcentral describes it as "partial 16S ribosomal RNA". It matches the Rfam family "Bacterial small subunit ribosomal RNA", at positions 28 to 507 of the family's 1533-position model. The record is from RNAcentral.
GACGAACGCUGGCGGCGUGCUUAACACAUGCAAGUCGAACGGUGAAGCUCCAGCUUGCUGGAGUGGAUCAGUGGCGAAAGGGUGAGUAACACGUGAGCAACCUGCCCCUGACUCUGGAAUAAGCGCUGGAAACGGCGUCUAAUACUGGAUACGAGAAGGGUCCGCAGGGGCACUUUCUGGAAAGUUUUUCGGUUGGGGAUGGGCUCGCGGCCUAUCAGCUUGUUGGUGAGGUAAUGGCUCACCAAGGCGACGACGGGUAGCCGGCCUGAGAGGGCGACCGGCCACACUGGGACUGAGACACGGCCCAGACUCCUACGGGAGGCAGCAGUGGGGAAUAUUGCACAAUGGGCGAAAGCCUGAUGCAGCGACGCCGCGUGAGGGAUGACGGCCUUCGGGUUGUAAACCUCUUUCAGCAGGGAAGAAGCGAAAGUGACGGUACCUGCAGAAGAAGCACCGGCUAACUACGUG